UAUUAUUAUUUAGUAUUAUUCAGCUUAAAGAAAUGGUAUCGUGGAGAACCGAGUUCGGGUUUCAAGUACCUGGAUUUGGGGUCGCCACAUUAUUUUCAUUAAUUAAUUUUACUUAAUUACACUCAAGUUAAUUGAUUUGCUAAAUAAACAAAAUUCGAUCAUAAGCAUUUUUGUUAUCAUUAAAUAUUUCAUUUAACUUAUAAAAUCACCAAGAUAAUUUUUUUUUAAAACACAAAGUCAAUUCGGUAGACCAUAUUCAUUCA
RNAcentral lists this long non-coding RNA (263 nucleotides) under Panax ginseng (ginseng). RNAcentral describes it as "long non-coding RNA (PGIN_LNC009520)". Lineage: Eukaryota; Viridiplantae; Streptophyta; Magnoliopsida; Apiales; Araliaceae. The record is from RNAcentral.